ACUUCCCUCCUUUGUUGGCGGGUGCUCUUGGGAUUGCAACCAGCGCAAGCAGCACCCUUCUGCAGAAGUAAAGAUGCCUUGCUGGGAAGUCUUCUGUCUCAGUGCUGGUUUUUCUUGACUACACUGAGCACUUGUUUUCAACAAAUUUGAGGGUCUUCUGGGAUCCCAUUCUCCUUUGGGAGGGGUAGCGAUUACUUUUCCUCGUGAGACACGUCCCACUGCCUUGUUGCAGUGGCCCAAGGAGCGGAGGAUCGGGUCCACCCAAAGUGAGGAAUAAAUCCGGACUUUCAGCAACGUGGGCAGGAAGGAGCCUUAAAAUUCCCAGGCAAGUGGGUAACUCUGUGCACAGACCAAGCUCUUGCUCCUGGAUAAUCAAGAAGAACAACGAAGCCAAAUCCUGUUAAAAUUUUUUGCAGAGGAAGAAGUAUCAAAUAGAAGAGAGGAAAUUGUUGGGACAGCUAAGCUCUUCAAAGACUCAACUUCCUGGUCAUAAACUUCUCCCCGUUUUUCUUCUUUUUCGCCAGUCUACCCUGUUUGGGAAAGUUUAAACCUUAGCCAGUCGGGAUCAGCUCAGAUUGUGCAGUCCAUCCCCAGUCAAUGGGGAAAGGACACAGAAACAGGAACUGCGUUAGGGUUAAAAAGCCCUUCUCUCCUUUGUUUGGGGUGCUCUUGCGAUUACAAGCUGCGCAAGUAGCACCGUUCUGAAGUAAAGAUGCCUUGCUGGGAAA
Homo sapiens (human) is the source of this 728-nucleotide long non-coding RNA. Ensembl annotates it as YPEL3 divergent transcript. Its record names the gene YPEL3-DT. The record is from Ensembl. NCBI's taxonomy places the organism in Eukaryota, Metazoa, Chordata, Mammalia, Primates, Hominidae.